GAUGAACGCUGGCGGCGUGCCUAAUACAUGCAAGUCGAGCGAACGGACGAGAAGCUUGCUUCUCUGAUGUUAGCGGCGGACGGGUGAGUAACACGUGGAUAACCUACCUAUAAGACUGGGAUAACUUCGGGAAACCGUAGCUAAUACCGGAUAAUAUUUUGAACCGCAUGGUUCAAAAGUGAAAGACGGUCUUGCUGUCACUUAUAGAUGGAUCCGCGCUGCAUUAGCUAGUUGGUAAGGUAACGGCUUACCAAGGCAACGAUGCAUAGCCGACCUGAGAGGGUGUACGGCCACACUGGAACUGAGACACGGUCCAGACUCCUACGGGAGGCAGCAGUAGGGAAUCUUCCGCAAAGGGCGAAAGCCUGACGGAGCAACGCCGCGUGAGUGAUGAAGGUCUUCGGAUCGUAAAACUCUGUUAUUAGGGAAGAACAUAUGUGUAAGUAACUGUGCACAUCUUGACGGUACCUAAUCAGAAAGCCACGGCUAACUACGUG
Molecule: ribosomal RNA, 497 nt
Filed under: uncultured bacterium
Lineage: Bacteria
Description: partial 16S ribosomal RNA
Rfam family: Bacterial small subunit ribosomal RNA
Source: RNAcentral